RNAcentral lists this ribosomal RNA (301 nucleotides) under uncultured bacterium. RNAcentral describes it as "partial 16S ribosomal RNA". It matches the Rfam family "Bacterial small subunit ribosomal RNA", at positions 509 to 807 of the family's 1533-position model. The record is from RNAcentral.
CAGUCGCCACGGUAAUACAGAGGGUGCGAGCGUUAAUCGGAUUUACUGGGCGUAAAGCGUGCGUAGGCGGCUUUUUAAGUCGGAUGUGAAAUCCCUGAGCUUAACUUAGGAAUUGCAUUCGAUACUGGGAAGCUAGAGUAUGGGAGAGGAUGGUAGAAUUCCAGGUGUAGCGGUGAAAUGCGUAGAGAUCUGGAGGAAUACCGAUGGCGAAGGCAGCCAUCUGGCCUAAUACUGACGCUGAGGUACGAAAGCAUGGGGAGCAAACAGGAUUAGAUACCCCCGUAGUCCAUGUCUCUUAUAC